GGUGGGUUGUCCGAGUGGUUAAGGAGUGUGACUUAAGAUGUUAAAUUAACAUGUUGUAUUCACAUGGACGUAAGUCUUCGCGCGUUCGAACCGCGCACCCACCA
Non-coding RNA from Aspergillus pseudotamarii, 104 nucleotides. The record is from the annotation of a RefSeq genome assembly. NCBI's taxonomy places the organism in Eukaryota, Fungi, Ascomycota, Eurotiomycetes, Eurotiales, Aspergillaceae.